Oncorhynchus tshawytscha (Chinook salmon) is the source of this 766-nucleotide long non-coding RNA. The record is from Ensembl. NCBI's taxonomy places the organism in Eukaryota, Metazoa, Chordata, Actinopteri, Salmoniformes, Salmonidae.
AACACUAAUAGCUUAACUGAUCACUAACCAAUCACUGCUUUACUGUAGUAUAGGCCUAUAAAUAGGUCAUAGGUCAGAUUACCUGUUUUGAACAAUGGAUGCCAACAAUGGACAAAGAGCAAGAGGAGUAGGAGGGAGAGGAAGAGGAAGAAGAGGACGAGGGCAAAGAAGAGAAGGAAGGAGAGCCAUCUCUGAUGAGAUUAGGGCAACACUUGUUGGUCAUGUGAUCAACCACGGUUUGACCAUGAGAGAGGCUGGACUGAGAGUCCAGCCCAACUUGAGUCGAUUUACAGUGGUGUCCAUAAUUCGAACCUUCAGAAAUGAGAACAGAGUGGAAAGGCAAAGACAUCAUGGAGGACGAGGACGCUUGUUUACAGAUGUACAAGAGACAGCAAUUAUAAAUAUGGGGUUGGCCAACAAUGCAAUUAGGAUUCGAGAGAUAAGAGAGCAUAUCUUGAAGAAUGACACCAUAUUUAACAACAUCAAUGCUGCAAGCCUGUCGACCAUACAAGGCAUCCUCCAACGGCACCGAGUGACGAUGAAACAACUUUACAAGAGAGUAUUGGAGCUGGAUGCCCAUGUAAUUCACCAUGAAUUUAUUUAUGAGGAUGAGGUUGGCUUCAACCUCACCAAAACCAGGCGCCGCGGAAGAAAUGUAAUAAGGAAAGAGGGCAUUUACCAAUGUCCCUGGACAGCGUGGGGGUAAUAUAACUAUGUGUGCCGCCAUCACUCAAAACGGGGUCCUCCAUCACAAUGCCACACUGGG